GACGAACGCUGGCGGCGUGCUUAACACAUGCAAGUCGAACGGAAAGGCCCUGCUUUUGUGGGGUGCUCGAGUGGCGAACGGGUGAGUAACACGUGAGUAACCUGCCCUUGACUUUGGGAUAACUUCAGGAAACUGGGGCUAUACCGGAAAGGAGCCCCUGCUGCAUGGUGGGGGCUGGAAAGUUUCGGCGGUUGGGGAUGGACUCGCGGCUUAUCAGCUUGUUGGUGGGGUAGUGGCUUACCAAGGCUUUGACGGGUAGCCGGCCUGAGAGGGUGACCGGCCACAUUGGGACUGAGAUACGGCCCAGACUCCUACGGGAGGCAGCAGUGGGGAAUAUUGCACAAUGGGCGGAAGCCUGAUGCAGCAACGCCGCGUGCGGGAUGACGGCCUUCGGGUUGUAAACCGCUUUCGCCUGUGACGAAGCGUGAGUGACGGUAAUGGGUAAAGAAGCACCGGCUAACUACGUG
This 467-nucleotide ribosomal RNA is filed under the name uncultured bacterium. RNAcentral's name for it is "partial 16S ribosomal RNA". It matches the Rfam family "Bacterial small subunit ribosomal RNA", at positions 28 to 507 of the family's 1533-position model. The record is from RNAcentral.